GCGUGGGAACGUACCCUUCACUACGGAAUAGCUUCUGGAAACGGAAGGUAAUACCGUAUACGCCCUCCGGGGGAAAGAUUUAUCGGUGAAGGAUCGGCCCGCGUUAGAUUAGUUUGUUGGUGGGGUAAUGGCCUACCAAGACUACGAUCUAUAGCUGGUCUGAGAGGAUGAUCAGCCACACUGGGACUGAGACACGGCCCAGACUCCUACGGGAGGCAGCAGUGGGGAAUCUUGCACAAUGGGCGAAAGCCUGAUGCAGCCAUGCCGCGUGAAUGAUGAAGGCCUUAGGGUUGUAAAAUUCUUUCGCCAGGGAUGAUAAUGACAGUACCUGGUAAAGAAGCCCCGGCUAACUUCGUGCCAGCAGCCGCGGUAAUACGAAGGGGGCUAGCGUUGUUCGGAAUUACUGGGCGUAAAGCGCGCGUAGGCGGGCUAUUAAGCCAGAUGUGAAAGCCCGGAGCUCAACUCCGGAAUUGCAUUUGGAACUGGUAGCCUAGAGACCAGGAGAGGUUAGCGGAAUACCGAGUGUAGAGGUGAAAUUCGUAGAUAUUCGGUGGAACACCAGUGGCGAAGGCGGCUAACUGGACUGGUACUGACGCUGAGGCGCGAAAGUGUGGGGAGCAAACAGGAUUAGAUACCCUGGUAGUCCACAC
This 650-nucleotide ribosomal RNA is filed under the name Henriciella marina. Its description in RNAcentral is "bacterial SSU rRNA". It matches the Rfam family "Bacterial small subunit ribosomal RNA", at positions 115 to 800 of the family's 1533-position model. The record is from RNAcentral. Lineage: Bacteria; Pseudomonadati; Pseudomonadota; Alphaproteobacteria; Hyphomonadales; Hyphomonadaceae.